Long non-coding RNA from Ornithorhynchus anatinus (platypus), 739 nucleotides. RefSeq lists it as uncharacterized. The record is from RefSeq and is a predicted model, not a curated record. NCBI's taxonomy places the organism in Eukaryota, Metazoa, Chordata, Mammalia, Monotremata, Ornithorhynchidae. The transcript is spliced from 3 exons.
UUCAAUCCACCAGGAAGUUUCUUCCAACUUUAUGGCCCAUCUGUAAAAAUCAACAAAUACCUCCCCAGUGUUUAGAACAGUGCUCGGCGCAUAGGCGGUGCUUAAGAAAUACCACCACUAUUACUAUUAUUAUUGUUUCUCCUAGCCCGGAGCAUUUCAGACGCUGACGACCCCGCGGUGAUGAUCUACUCCUCUUCCUCUUGUACCUUCCAAAUCAACGUGAAUGAAGAAUGCGAAAAGGUGACAGUGGGGGUUGAGGAAGUGCCUUUUUCGGGGAAAGGAUCUGAAAUUUUGGGGACAGCCCCGCCAACGACGAGAAAAGUCUGCAGGGAGAAGCCUCUCAAAAGACAAAACUGGUCCAGUGCUCCGGCUGCCUCUCGAAGGCUGUGAGAACCGAAACGGGAAGCUUCCCCGUUCGGGGAAGCCUUUCGGUGCUCGGAAAGAGAGAGUUUCCUCCACGGCUCGAUUUUGUGCAAGCCCAUUUCCUCUCUGCAAGCGAAUCUCAGAUGUAGAAAUUCAAAAUACAGCAAGUCUACGUCAGACGUGAGGCUCGGGGCGAACAGGAACUCACAGCUGUUAGCGCUCUGCGGCCUUUUCGUUCUUUCAGCUAGUCGCAUACAAAACAAGGUCGACGAAGAAGGGAAACAUCAAGAAGGCUCCCGACUGCGGCUUAUCAAUCAACAAAUCAAUAAUAUUUAUCGACUAAGUGUUCAAUAAAUAUCAUUGAUUGACUGAUGGA